UCAGAAAAUUAUUUAAUUUUCUUUCCAAUGAAAGAUGAGACUUGAUAAGGAGAUUAAUUUUCAAAUAUUUCAUCAUCUCAUUUGUGACAGGGAUAUGAUUAUUUUUAAUGUAAUAUUUUAUAAAUAUUUAAACAAAUGAAGAUGCUGAUGUUUAGCAAUAAUUGGGUGACAGACAAAUGAGAAGACUUCAAAAAAUUUGUGGAAAAUGAGGACCAGUGUUAUGAUAUAGCAGGUAAAGCCACCUCAUGUAAUGCUGGAAUCCCCUGUGGGCGUUUGUUUGAGUCCCAGCUGCUCCACUUCCAAUCUAGCUCCUUGCUAGUGCACCUGGGAAAGCAUCGGAAGGUGGCUCAAAUGCUUAGGCCCCUGCACCCAUGGGGGAGACCUGGAAGAAGCUCCUGGCUCCUGGCUUCAGUCUGGCCCAGUACUAGCCACUGUGGCCAUGUGGGGAGUAAACCACUGAAUGGAAGAUCUCUCUCUGUAACUCUACCUUCCAAAUAAAUAAAUUAAAUCUUUUAAGAAAUAUGGAAAAUGGAAUUAAAAGAUUGCUUAUUUUGGUGCAAGAAAAUUUUUAAGUCCUUAACAGAGUUUUUUCAUAAUACACAUUUUCCAUGAACUUUGUGAAGACUCCCUUGUAUUUGAUCUUUUUUUUUUUUAAGAUUUAUUUAUUUAUUUGAAAAUCAGUUACACAGAGAAGGAAAGGCAGAGAGAGAGAGUCUUCCAUUGCUGGUUCACUCUCCAAUUAGCUGCAGUGCCCGGAGCUGCGCCGAUCUGAAGCCAGGAGCUUCUUCUAGGUCUCCCACGUGGGUGCAGGGGCCCAAGGACCUAGGCCAUUUUCCACUGCUUUCCCAGGCCAUAGCAGAGAGCUAGAUUGGAAGUGGAGCAGCAGAGACUCGAACCGGUGCCCAUAUGGGAUGCUGGCACUGCAGGCGGCGGCUUUACCCGCUACGCCACAGUGCCAGCCCCUGUAUUUGAUCUUAAAAAGAAAGCUAACAGCUUAUUAACUAUGAUGUGCUAGGCUCUGGUUGGAUUCUUUAUAUAAAUUAAAAAAUAUGAUUUACUCCUUAGACAUUUGUAUCUGGUAGGUUCUCUCUCUCUCUCUUUCUUUUUUUUUUUUUUUUUUUUUGUAGAGCUUUUUUUAUUUGAGAGGCAGAGUUACAGAGAGAAAGAGGGAGAGAGAGAGGUCUUCCAUCGUCUGGUUCAUUCCCCAAAUGGCCACAACGGCUGGAGCUGGGCUGAUCUGAAGCCAGGAGCCAGAAGUUUCUGCCUGGUCUCCCACACAGGUGCCAGGGGCCCAAGCACUUUACCAUCUUCUGCGCUUUGCCAAGCCAUUAGCAGGGAGCUGGAUUGGAAGUGGAGCAGCCAGGUCUCAAACCAGUGCCCAUAUGGGAUGCCAGCGCUGUAGACAGAGGCUUAACCUGCUGCACCAUAGCUCCGGCCCCACUAUCUUUUCUUUGAGAACACUGAAACUGAGGUUUCAAGGUGUAUGGGGAACCUCUCCUGAAGACACAUAACUGGGAAAUCGAAGUCAGAAUUAGAACCCUGACGGCUUCGUUAGUUGUCAGGUAGAAGUACAGUGUCUUCGUUAUCUAUUGCUGUAUAAUAGAUUACUCCAAAACCUAGUGACCAGAACAACACACCUGUCAUCUCAGUUUAGGUGGCCCAGACGUAACGUAGCUGGACCCUCUGCUUUGGAUCUGUCACAGGCUGCAGUUACUGAGUCAGUGGGGGCCCGGCUGAGGCCGUGUGUAUUUGCAACUCAGUGGUGUGGUUGUGAACUGGUUCCUCGUGGGCACUUGGACUCAGGGCCUUGGCUGCUUGCUGGCUGAAGGCCAGAGGACAUCCUGGGUUUCUUUUCAGCUGACCCUCUCUGUCUAAACAAGCACGCAAGAAGAUCCAGGGGGACACAAUACCGGCACGGUGCAAGUCGCAGUCUUUUGUAUCCUAACCACAGAUGUGAUAUCCUGUGACUGUAUCUGUUCUGUGCAUUGUGGAAGCAGGUAACUAGGUCCAGGCUAUACUUGGAGGGCCUGCCCAAGGGCAUGAGUACCAGGAGGCAGGAAAUACUUGACUGUCAUGGGUGAAGUUGACUCCCACAAGUAUUUUUAACCUACAGAAAAUACAUGGAAUGGAAAGAGUCCAGAAUCUAGGUAUAAAAGUGAGUUCAGUGGUCAGUGUGCCGGGCGACAGUGCGGGGCUAUUCAGCCAGCCAUUUAGUCAGCAAACCUUAACUGCAAGCCAUGUGCCAGGCUUAGCUCCAGGUGCUGUGAAGAACACAAAGAGGUUUCUGCAGUGUGGAUCCCACAUGGCAGAAUGUUCCCGGAGAGCCUGGAUGCGUGAGUAAGGCAAAUUGUUUCCUUUCUGAGAGUGGGUAGUGCUUACGCCUAGGGUUCUUUGAUGGGGGCCAUGAUAGAAAUAAGAGUAACACGGAGAUUUUCAUCCUUGUUUCUUCUUUUUCCCAGUCCUAGUAAAUACAGUUAGCCUUCCUAACAGUGCUCCAACUCUGUCUACUUUCUCCCUGUAUUUACCGCUACCACCGCGACCCGCCCGGAGCUUGGGGAAGGGCUCCGAGCUAGUCUGCAGAAAUCUAUGUGUGGAUGGUUUUCUUAAGUCAUGCAUUUUGAUCAUGGCCCAGGGCAAGGGGCUGUAGACGGAAGAGAAGAUGAGCAAGGACCACGCCUCGGGGCACUGGGGCCUUGAGAGGUGAGGGAGACAAGGAAGGACCAGCCUCAGAGGAGUCGGGAGGAGCUGGCGAGACAACAGCAGAGCCCGAAGCAGGAGUGUGUUGCCGAGGAGCGAGCCAUCAGCUGCCUUGGAUCUGGUGCAGUAGUCGCCUAGAGGAGAGCAUAACUAAAGUGGGUUUAAAGAAGAUUUCUAGGAAAAGGAGUGAGAGACAGUGAGUAGAAAAGGCUUUUGCUACAGAAGAGAAAAUGGGUCAGUGUAGGAAGGGAGUCAGGUUUAAAGGAAAUUUUUGCUUUUUAAGAUAAAGAAAGAAUAGCCUAUUUGGGUACUGAUGAGAGUGAUGCAGCAGGAGAAGUUGGUUGAUAAGGGGACAUUGAAGGAGAAGUGCUAGAGUUCUUGAGUAGGAGACGCAAGAUGAGGCCUGGCCCACCAGUAGAGGAUUGCAUUUAGCUGAAGGGACCACUUGAAACUGAGAUUAUGGAAAGUUUAUUCGUACCAGUGAUGGCACAGUGCAGAGUUUGAUGGAAAGGACCAGUGGAAGUCGGCAUCUCUGGAGGGAGGUGACUUCAAGGGAAAGGGGGUCCUCGUUUUGAAUAUGUGACAGUAUCUAACCUGGUGUUGAAGAUUGAUGAGGGGACACUGAGCCAGGAGCGAGCGUUUUACUUCAGGUGCUCCACGGGGAAUGAGCUGUACACGCCUGUAACGGCACAGUGGGUUCUGGGCAGAGAAUGAAAGCCUGAGAGCUGGGAGUUCGGGGGGCAGGGAGGGAGUGUGGUCUGGAAACACCAAUUGGAGGCUUCGUGUUCCACCUCCAACCUCUGAUCUGAGGGCCGUGAGAGAGAAAAGAGCCACUACAACGAGCCGUGCAGGAGGACAGGGCUGGCGAGACCUGAGGGUCCUUGGAGCAGGCCAGUGGAGCCUGCAGGAUGAGGGUAAGAGGGUGCAGCAUUUUGUUGAUUCUGGACUCCUGAACAGAAGGGUUUCAGAAGCUGGGAGGCGGUGGGAGGCAGAGACAACAGGAAGUGGCAGUGGAGUGGAGACUGCGGCACUGAGUCCUGCCACCCUCUUUCUUCCUGGAUAGCACAGGUGGUGAUCAUACUGCUCACGUGCAUGUACGUGUCUACGUGAAUGUAUGCAUCCGUUGGGGUGCAUAUAAGCCCAUUUCUGUGGCUUCCCUUCAGUGAGAAGAGAGGCCCAUUUCUUUUAUUUCUUUUUAUUUAUUUUUUAACUUUUAUUUAAUGAAUAUAGAUUUCCAAAGUACAGCUUAUGGACUACAUUGCCCCCCCCCCCCAUGACUUCCCUCCCACCCGCAACCCUCCCCUUUCCCGCUCUCUCUCCCCUUCCAUUCAUAUCAAGAUUCAUUUUCAAUUUUCUAUAUAUACAGAAGAUCAGUUUAGUAUACAUUAAGUAAAGAUUUCAACAGUUUGCACCCACAUAGAAACACAAAGUGAAAAAUACUGUUUGAGUACUAGUUAUAGCAUUAAAUCUCAAUGUACAGCACACUAAGGACACAGAUCCUACAUGAGGAGUAGAGAGGCCCAUUUCUUAGUCACUGCUGCAUGUGGAGAACGUUUGAUAGGACACUCAGCUCUGUUACAAUGUGGAGCAUAGAAGGAUGGCUGUGUUACAAUACAAGUUACAGGGCUGGCGCCUUGGCUCACUUGGUUAAUCCUCCGCCUGUGGCGCCGGCAUCCCAUAUGGGUGCUGGUUCUUGUCCCGGUUGAUCCUCUUCCAGUCCAGCUCUCUGCUGUGGCCCGGGAGUGCAGUGAAGGAUGGCCCAAGUGCUUGGGCCCGGCACACACAUGGGAGACCAGGAGGAAGCACCUGGCUCCUGGCUUUGGAUCGGCGUAGCGCUGUCCAUAGCGGCCAUUUGGGGAGUGAACCAACGGAAGGAAGAUCUUUCUCUCUCUCUCUCUCUCUCUCUCCCACUGUCUAUAACUCUGUCAAAUAAAUAAAAAUAAAUAAACAAGCAAAUAAAAAAUAGAAUACAAGUUAGAGUAGUGGCAGGAUUAUGUAUUUCAUGGUGGCAAGGUAGGUGUUCUUGUAAGGCAAAGCCAUUAGAUGGGAAUGGGAGGCGGGUUUCACAACGAUGGGAACGGUGUGGAGUAGUUGGCAAGAGUAGGAAGGCGAGCCCACCAGAAUCACUUCACAGCACUGCUGCCGAGCGCCGGGUGCUUGGCUGAGGUUGAUGAGCAUUUUAGGUUAGCUGGCAUGGUUUGCAGGGGAACCUUGAGCAAGUACAUGAGAUGGACAGGAAAGCAGUUGUGUAAGGUAG
Non-coding RNA from Oryctolagus cuniculus (rabbit), 4954 nucleotides. The record is from RefSeq and is a predicted model, not a curated record. NCBI's taxonomy places the organism in Eukaryota, Metazoa, Chordata, Mammalia, Lagomorpha, Leporidae.